This 395-nucleotide ribosomal RNA is filed under the name uncultured bacterium. Its description in RNAcentral is "bacterial SSU rRNA". It matches the Rfam family "Bacterial small subunit ribosomal RNA", at positions 1 to 396 of the family's 1533-position model. The record is from RNAcentral.
GCUAGCCAAGAGUUUGAUCGUGGCUCAGGACGAACGCUGGCGGCGUGCUUAACACAUGCAAGUCGAGCGGUAAGGCCCUUUCGGGGGUACACGAGCGGCGAACGGGUGAGUAACACGUGGGUGACCUGCCCUUAGCUCUGGGAUAAGCCUGGAAACUGGGUCUAAUACCGGAUAUGACUCCAUAACGCAUGUUGUGGGGUGGAAAGCCUUGUGCGGCUAGGGAUGGGGCCCGCGGCCUAUCAGCUUGUUGGUGGGGUGAUGGCCUACCAAGGCGACGACGGGUAGCCGGCCUGAGAGGGCGACCGGCCACACUGGGACUGAGACACGGCCCAGACUCCUACGGGAGGCAGCAGUGGGGAAUCUUGCGCAAUGGGCGAAAGCCUGACGCAGCGACG